This 101-nucleotide transfer RNA is filed under the name Salmo salar (Atlantic salmon). It matches the Rfam family "tRNA". From Rfam's summary of the family: Transfer RNA (tRNA) molecules are approximately 80 nucleotides in length. Their secondary structure includes four short double-helical elements and three loops (D, anti-codon, and T loops). Lineage: Eukaryota; Metazoa; Chordata; Actinopteri; Salmoniformes; Salmonidae. The record is from Rfam by way of RNAcentral.
UUCCCGGUGGCUCAGUUGGUAGAGCAUGGUGUUUGCAACGCCAGCAUGGUGUGUGUGUGUGUGCAACGCCAGGGUUGUGGGUUCGAUUCCCACGGGGGGAG